GACGAACGCUGGCGGCGUGCUUAACACAUGCAAGUCGAACGGAAAGGCCCUGCUUUUGUGGGGUGCUCGAGUGGCGAACGGGUGAGUAACUCGUGAGUAACCUGCCCUUGACUUUGGGAUAACUUCAGGAAACUGGGGCUAAUACCGGAUAGGAGCUCCUGCUGCAUGGUGGGGGUUGGAAAGUUUCGGCGGUUGGGGAUGGACUCGCGGCUUAUCAGCUUGUUGGUGGGGUAGUGGCUUACCAAGGCUUUGACGGUUAGCCGGCCUGAGAGGGUGACCGGCCACAUUGGGACUGAGAUACGGCCCAGACUCCUACGGGAGGCAGCAGUGGGGAAUAUUGCACAAUGGGCGGAAGCCUGAUGCAGCAACGCCGCGUGCGGGAUGACGGCCUUCGGGUUGUAAACCGCUUUCGCCUGUGACGAAGCGUGAGUGACGGUAAUGGGUAAAGAAGCACCGGCUAACUACGUG
Molecule: ribosomal RNA, 468 nt
Filed under: uncultured bacterium
Lineage: Bacteria
Description: partial 16S ribosomal RNA
Rfam family: Bacterial small subunit ribosomal RNA
Source: RNAcentral